Molecule: small RNA, 84 nt
Filed under: Arabidopsis thaliana (thale cress)
Lineage: Eukaryota; Viridiplantae; Streptophyta; Magnoliopsida; Brassicales; Brassicaceae
Description: ATSL090220
Source: RNAcentral
UUGCCCGAAAAAUGGCUAUGCUGGAGUCGCAUCCUCGCCAUUGGCUCAAGAAUGGUUUUCAGCUUCUGGCUCCGAUGCCGGACA